GGCUUCGGCUUGGGGCAGAGCCGCGAACGGGUGAGUAACACGUGGGUAACCUGCCUCGAUGACCGGGACAACCCGGGGAAACCCGGGCUAAUACCGGAUGUGCUCCAUCCACAUCAGUGGAUGCAGGAAAGGAAGCUUCGGCCUCCGCAUCGAGAUGGGCCCGCGGCCCAUUAGCUUGUUGGUGAGGUAACGGCUCACCAAGGCUGCGAUGGGUAGCUGGUCUGAGAGGACGAUCAGCCACACUGGGACUGAGACACGGCCCAGACUCCUACGGGAGGCAGCAGUGGGGAAUCUUGCGCAAUGCGCGAAAGCGUGACGCAGCAACGCCGCGUGGGGGAAGAAGGCUUUCGGGUUGUAAACCCCUUUCAGGAGGGACGAAGCCGGGGCGGUUAAUAGCCGACCUCGGUGACGGUACCUCCAGAAGAAGCCCCGGCUAACUACGUGCCAGCAGCCGCGGUAAUACGUAGGGGGCAAGCGUUGUCCGGAAUUAUUGGGCGUAAAGAGCGUGUAGGCGGUCCGGUUAGUCGGCUGUGAAAGUCCAGAGCUCAACCCUGGGAUGCCGGUCGAUACUGCCGGACUAGAGUCCGGAAGAGGCAAGUGGAAUUCCCGGUGUAGCGGUGAAAUGCGCAGAUAUCGGGAGGAACACCUAUGGCGAAGGCAGCUUGCUGGGACGGUACUGACGCUGAGACGCGAAAGCG
RNAcentral lists this ribosomal RNA (698 nucleotides) under uncultured Actinomycetes bacterium. RNAcentral's name for it is "bacterial SSU rRNA". It matches the Rfam family "Bacterial small subunit ribosomal RNA", at positions 76 to 761 of the family's 1533-position model. Lineage: Bacteria; Bacillati; Actinomycetota; Actinomycetes. The record is from RNAcentral.